Hippopotamus amphibius kiboko is the source of this 2940-nucleotide RNA transcript. It is a transcript of the gene named glucose-6-phosphate dehydrogenase, with no coding region annotated. NCBI's taxonomy places the organism in Eukaryota, Metazoa, Chordata, Mammalia, Artiodactyla, Hippopotamidae. The transcript is spliced from 14 exons. The record is from RefSeq and is a predicted model, not a curated record.
ACCUGAUCCGGCGACCCGUCCGGGGAGGGGACGGGGCUGCAGAAGGCCCCGCCCACAAACAGGGUCGAGGGGCGUGACCACGCUGCCGGCGGAAGUGGAGCCUAUCGCGAGAGUGCAGGACCUCGCGGGGUCCGCGAGAAAGCCAGACUAUAGGGGCGGGGUCGGGCCGGGGAUGGGGACGCGGGCGAGCAGCAGGGAGCUGCACGCGGAGUCGCGAAGCAUCGGGGACACGGCGCAGCGGCGGCGGGGACAGCAGGCCGCCCGCGGGCCGGCGGCCGGCUCAGAAAGCAUCAUGGCAGAGCAGGUGGCUCUGAGCCGGACCCAGGUGUGCGGGAUCCUGCGGGAAGAGCUGUACCAGGGCGAUGCCUUCCAUCAGGCUGAUACGCAUAUCUUUAUCAUCAUGGGUGCAUCGGGCGACCUGGCCAAGAAGAAGAUCUACCCCACCAUCUGGUGGCUGUUCCGGGACGGCCUUUUGCCCGAAGACACCUACGUCGUAGGCUAUGCCCGCUCCCGCCUCACGGUGGCUGACAUCCGCAAGCAGAGCGAGCCCUUCUUCAAAGCUACCCCAGAGGAGAAGCCCAAGCUUGAGGAGUUCUUUGCCCGCAACUCCUACGUGGCUGGCCAGUACGACGAUGCGGCCUCCUACAAGCGCCUCAACAGCCACAUGAACGCCCUCCACCAGGGGCCACAGGCCAACCGCCUCUUCUACCUGGCCUUGCCCCCCACCGUCUAUGAGGCUGUCACCAAGAACAUCCACGAGACCUGCAUGAGCCAGACAGGCUGGAACCGCAUCAUCGUGGAGAAGCCCUUCGGGAGGGACCUGCAGAGCUCCGACCAGCUGUCCAACCAUAUUGCUUCCCUGUUCCGCGAGGACCAGAUCUACCGCAUUGACCACUACCUGGGCAAGGAGAUGGUUCAGAACCUCAUGGUGUUGAGGUUUGCCAACAGGAUCUUUGGCCCCAUCUGGAACCGGGACAACAUUGCCUGUGUCAUCCUCACCUUCAAAGAGCCCUUUGGCACUGAGGGUCGCGGGGGCUACUUUGAUGAAUUUGGGAUCAUCCGGGACGUGAUGCAGAACCACCUCCUGCAGAUGCUGUGUCUGGUGGCCAUGGAGAAGCCUGCCUCCACCGACUCUGACGACGUCCGUGAUGAGAAGGUCAAAGUGUUGAAAUGUAUCUCAGAGGUGCAGGCGAGCAACGUGGUCCUGGGCCAGUAUGUGGGGAACCCCAGCGGAGAGGGGGAGGCCACCAAAGGGUACCUGGACGACCCCACAGUGCCCCGCGGGUCCACGACGGCUACCUUCGCGGCUGUCGUCCUGUACGUGGAGAAUGAGCGGUGGGAUGGGGUUCCCUUCAUCCUGCGCUGCGGCAAAGCCCUGAACGAGCGCAAGGCUGAGGUACGCCUGCAGUUCCGCGACGUGGCCGGGGACAUCUUUCGGCAGCAGUGCAAGCGCAACGAGCUGGUGAUCCGCGUGCAGCCCAACGAGGCCGUGUACACCAAGAUGAUGACCAAGAAGCCUGGCAUGUUCUUCAACCCUGAGGAGUCGGAGCUGGACCUCACCUACGGCAACAGAUACAAGAACGUGAAGCUCCCUGACGCCUACGAGCGCCUCAUCCUAGAUGUCUUCUGUGGCAGCCAGAUGCACUUCGUGCGCAGUGACGAGCUGCGGGAGGCCUGGCGGAUCUUCACUCCACUGCUGCACCAGAUCGAGCGGGAGAAGGCCCAGCCCAUCCCCUAUGUCUACGGCAGCCGAGGCCCUGUGGAGGCAGAUGAGCUGAUGAAGAGAGUGGGCUUCCAGUACGAGGGCACCUACAAGUGGGUGAACCCCCACAAGCUCUGACCCUGCACUGGGCCCGCCCCUGGCCUCGGCCCUGCAUCUCUGUGCUCCCCCCCUCCCUUCCCGACCUGCCUCGGGAGGACCCACCUCAGGAGGACUCGGGACCACAGCCCUCAAGCUCACAUUCCUGCCCGGGCUCGGGCCACCCCACCCGCGCCGGGGCCCAGUCACAUUCCUCCGCCACCCAGCACUGUGACCGUCCCCUCCUGAGCCAGCCUGUGUUUCCGGGACUGAGCCCCACCGGAAGGAAGGAAGAGGAGGGCUGCAGUUCCCGACAGGGGGCAAGGUCCUCGGAGCACAGGGGAGGAGGGCGGGCACGGCCACCCCAGCCUCAGCGCCGCUCGACAUUCCUGGUCCCCCACUGGAGGGGACCUCCGUGCUGGCCAGCAAGCCCCCUGUGUCGAGUCCCCCGAAUGUCCCCCUGCCCCCGCAGCGCUCCCCAGCACCGUAACACAGCACUCCAUGGCUGCCCCACCUCACUCCCGCCAGGUGGCGCCCUCGCCGCUGGAAAAGCAGAAGCCGCAGAAUCUUGUCGUGAGACCACCUUGGGCACAAGAACAGGUCAUAUUCGUUCCCCUCCCCCCUCUCCCCCCCGGCUGUGCCCCUGCCCCAGCCAGGGCGCUUGGAGUGCUGCUGGCCCGCCAAGGUGACAAGUAUCUAGGAAGGAGCUGCUGAGGGGCUGGGAGACAGCCACCCUGGCCUGUGUUUCCUGGGGAAGCUCAGGGCAACAGGAAGGUGUCCUCCCAGCACUGACGGCCAGAAGGCUGAGCUCCAGGGCCAGGGCCCUCCAGGGGCUCGGCUGGCCGUGUAGACCCAUCACUGCAGUCUAUCUCCAUCUUCACAUGACCUUCUCCCUGCGUGUCUGUCUCCCUCUGGUUCCCUUUACAAGAACAUGAGUCAUAUUAGCUUAGGGGCUCAAUUUACUCUAGAAGGACCUCAUCUUAACUAAGCUGAUGCUGCCUGCACACGUCCCAUUUCUGAAUAAGAGCACAUUCCGAGCUUCCAGGGGAACAUGCCCAACAGAGGCAGCGCUCCCUGGUCAUCUGUCCUGCCCUCCCGGCUCCGCUCUUCUUCUUAAAUAUUUUUAACAAUUUUUUAAAAUU